GUGGGGAAUAUUGCACAAUGGGCGAAAGCCUGAUGCAGCGACGCCGCGUGAGGGACGACGGCCUUCGGGUUGUAAACCUCUUUCAGUACCGACGAAGCGAAAGUGACGGUAGGUACAGAAGAAGCACCGGCCAACUACGUGCCAGCAGCCGCGGUAAUACGUAGGGUGCAAGCGUUGUCCGGAAUUAUUGGGCGUAAAGAGCUCGUAGGCGGUUAGUCACGUCGGCUGUGAAAACCUGGGGCUCAACCCCGGGCCUGCAGCCGAUACGGGCUGACUAGAAUUCGGCAGGGGAGACUGGAAUUCCUGGUGUAGCGGUGAAAUGCGCAGAUAUCAGGAGGAACACCGGUGGCGAAGGCGGGUCUCUGGGCCGAUAUUGACGCUGAGGAGCGAAAGCGUGGGGAGCAAACAGG
RNAcentral lists this ribosomal RNA (410 nucleotides) under uncultured Jatrophihabitans sp. Its description in RNAcentral is "bacterial SSU rRNA". It matches the Rfam family "Bacterial small subunit ribosomal RNA", at positions 354 to 776 of the family's 1533-position model. The record is from RNAcentral. Lineage: Bacteria; Bacillati; Actinomycetota; Actinomycetes; Jatrophihabitantales; Jatrophihabitantaceae.